RNAcentral lists this ribosomal RNA (685 nucleotides) under Bacillus subtilis. RNAcentral's name for it is "bacterial SSU rRNA". It matches the Rfam family "Bacterial small subunit ribosomal RNA", at positions 555 to 1240 of the family's 1533-position model. Lineage: Bacteria; Bacillati; Bacillota; Bacilli; Caryophanales; Bacillaceae. The record is from RNAcentral.
UGGGCGUAAAGGGCUCGCAGGCGGUUUCUUAAGUCUGAUGUGAAAGCCCCCGGCUCAACCGGGGAGGGUCAUUGGAAACUGGGGAACUUGAGUGCAGAAGAGGAGAGUGGAAUUCCACGUGUAGCGGUGAAAUGCGUAGAGAUGUGGAGGAACACCAGUGGCGAAGGCGACUCUCUGGUCUGUAACUGACGCUGAGGAGCGAAAGCGUGGGGAGCGAACAGGAUUAGAUACCCUGGUAGUCCACGCCGUAAACGAUGAGUGCUAAGUGUUAGGGGGUUUCCGCCCCUUAGUGCUGCAGCUAACGCAUUAAGCACUCCGCCUGGGGAGUACGGUCGCAAGACUGAAACUCAAAGGAAUUGACGGGGGCCCGCACAAGCGGUGGAGCAUGUGGUUUAAUUCGAAGCAACGCGAAGAACCUUACCAGGUCUUGACAUCCUCUGACAAUCCUAGAGAUAGGACGUCCCCUUCGGGGGCAGAGUGACAGGUGGUGCAUGGUUGUCGUCAGCUCGUGUCGUGAGAUGUUGGGUUAAGUCCCGCAACGAGCGCAACCCUUGAUCUUAGUUGCCAGCAUUCAGUUGGGCACUCUAAGGUGACUGCCGGUGACAAACCGGAGGAAGGUGGGGAUGACGUCAAAUCAUCAUGCCCCUUAUGACCUGGGCUACACACGUGCUACAAUGGACAGAAC